This 398-nucleotide ribosomal RNA is filed under the name uncultured bacterium. Its description in RNAcentral is "partial 16S ribosomal RNA". It matches the Rfam family "Bacterial small subunit ribosomal RNA", at positions 523 to 918 of the family's 1533-position model. The record is from RNAcentral.
AUACGUAGGGUGCGAGCGUUGUCCGGAAUUACUGGGCGUAAAGAGCUCGUAGGUGGUUUGUCGCGUCGUCUGUGAAAUUCCGGGGCUUAACUCCGGGCGUGCAGGCGAUACGGGCAUAACUUGAGUACUGUAGGGGAGACUGGAAUUCCUGGUGUAGCGGUGAAAUGCGCAGAUAUCAGGAGGAACACCGGUGGCGAAGGCGGGUCUCUGGGCAGUAACUGACGCGGAGGAGCGAAAGCAGGGGUAGCGAACAGGAUUAGAUACCCUGGUAGUCCAUGCCGUAAACGGUGGGCGCUAGGUGUAGGGGUCUUCCACGACUUCUGUGCCGUAGCUAACGCAUUAAGCGCCCCGCCUGGGGAGUACGGCCGCAAGGCUAAAACUCAAAUGAAUUGACGGGG